AUGGUUAAGCUAAGAAGAGCGUAGGGAGAAUGCCUUGGCAUUAGGAGCCGAUGAAGGACGUGAUAAGCUGCGAUAAGCUGCGGGGAUCAGCAAGUAUGAAUUGAUCCGCAGAUUUCCGAAUGGAGCAAUCCGUAUGUGUAUGCACAUACAUCAUAUACUGAAUCAAAUAGGUAUAUGAGGGGAACCGCCUGAACUGAAACAUCUAAGUAGGGCGAGGAAGAGAAAUCAACCGAGAUUCUGUGAGUAGUGGCGAGCGAAAGCGGAAGAGGCUAAACCAUAGGUAGCAAUACUUAUGGGGUUUCGGACAGCAUUUAGCAUUGAUAAUUUCUAGUUGAAACGUGUGGGAAAACGUACCGAAGAGUGUGAGAGUCACGUAAGCGAAAGAGAGAAUCAGCGAGCUGUAUCCAAAGUACCGCGGGACACGUGAAACCCCGUGGGAAGAUGGGGGGACCAUCCUCCAAGCCUAAAUACUACCUAAUGACCGAUAGCGAAUAGUACUGUGAAGGAACGGUGAAAAGAACCCCGGGAGGGGAGUGAAAAAGAACCUGAAACCCUAUGCUUACAAGCACCGAGAGCACGUCAAAGUGUGAUCGGGUACCUUUUGUAGAAUGGUCCGGCGAGUUAUUGUAUGCGGCAAGGUUAAGUGCUUAAGGCACGGAGCCGAAGCGAGAGCAAGUCUGAACAGGGCGAGUAAGUCGUAUGCAAUAGACCCGAAACCGAGUGACCUAUCCAUGUCCAGGCUGAAGUGGAGGUAAAACUCCAUGGAGGGCCGAACACACGUCCGUUGAAAAGGCCGGUGAUGAGGUGUGGAUAGCGGAGAAAUUCCAAUCGAACUCGGAUAUAGCUGGUUCUCUCCGAAAUAGCUUUAGGGCUAGCCUCGUGAAAGAUUACUGGAGGUAAAGCACUGAAUGGGCUAGGGGUCGAAAGAUUACUGAACCCUAUCAAACUAAGAAUGCCAGAUAAUUGAUUCACGGGAGUCAGACAAUGUGAGAUAAGUCUCAUUGUCAAAAGGGAAACAGCCCAGACCCACAGCUAAGGUCCCUAAACAUUGUUAAGUGGAAAAGGAUGUGGGGUUGCAUAAACAACCAGGAUGUUGGCUUAGAAGCAGCCACUCAUUAAAAGAGUGCGUAAUAGCUCACUGGUCGAGUGACCCUGCGCCGAAAAUUCAACGGGGCUAAACAAUGUACCGAAGCUUGGGAUUCUAAAGUAAUUUAGAGUGGUAGGAGAGCGUCGAAUAAGGGGUGAAGUCAGAGCGGAAGCGCUGGUGGACUUUAUUCGAGUGAGAAUGCCGGAAUGAGUAGCGAGAAUUAUGUGAGAAUCAUAAUGGCCGAAAAUCUAAGGUUUCCUGAGGAAGGUUCGUCCGCUCAGGGUAAGCCGGGGGCUAAGGCGAGGCGGAGACGCGUAGCCGAUGCACAUACGGUUGAAAUUCCGUAGCCACCGAAAGAUUUAAGUACAGGGACGCUUUAGAAGUGAUGUUGCCGGGCGAUGGUUGACCCGGUCGUAAGGGAUCGAAAAUGAGUAGAGAAGUCAUCAUGGAAAGAGACAAGAAAAGCUGUAUGAAUAUCUUAGGUGCCCGUACCGCAAACCGACACAGGUAGAUAGGAAGAAGAUUCUAAGGCCAACGGGAGAAGGGUUGUUAAGGAACUCGGCAAGUUGACCCCGUAACUUAGGGAUAAGGGGUGCUCAAGUGAUUGAGCCGCAGAGAAUAGGCCCAGGCGACUGUUUAGCAAAAACACAGGUCUCUGCUAAAUCGAAAGAUGACGUAUAGGGGCUGACACCUGCCCGGUGCCGGAAGGUUAAGAGGAGAUGUGAGAGCAUUGAAUUGAAGCCCCGGUAAACGGCGGCCGUAACUAUAACGGUCCUAAGGUAGCGAAAUUCCUUGUCAGGUAAGUUCUGACCCGCACGAAAGGUGUAACGAUCUGGGCACUGUCUCAACAACCCGCCCGGCGAAAUUGUAGUACCGGUGAAGAUGCCGGUUACCCGCGACUAGACGGAAAGACCCCAUGGAGCUUUACUGUAGCCUAAUAUUGGAUUUCGGUAUUUCACGUACAGGAUAGGUGGGAGACUGGGAAGCACAGGCGUCAGCUUGUGUGGAGUCGACCUUGGGAUACCACUCUUGGAGUGCUGGAAUUCUAACCUGCGGCUUUGAAGCAAGUCGGGGGACAUUGUUAGGUGGGCAGUUUGACUGGGGCGGUCGCCUCCUAAAGAGUAACGGAGGCGCUCAAAGGUUCGCUCUGCAUGGAUGGAAACCAUGCGUCAGAGUGUAAACGCAAAAGCGAGCCUAACUGCGAGAAUGACGGUUCGAGCAGUAACGAAAGUUGGAGUUAGUGAUCCGGCGGUAUGUGAAUGGAAAUGCCGUCGCUCAACGGAUAAAAGCUACCCUGGGGAUAACAGGCUGAUCUCCCCCAAGAGUCCACAUCGACGGGGAGGUUUGGCACCUCGAUGUCGGCUCAUCGCAUCCUGGGGCUGAAUUCGGUCCCAAGGGUUUGGCUGUUCGCCAAUUAAAGCGGUACGCGAGCUGGGUUCAGAACGUCGUGAGACAGUUCGGUCCCUAUCUGUCGUGGGCGUAGGAUAUUUGCAAGGAGCUGUCCCUAGUACGAGAGGACCGGGAUGGACGCACCUCUGGUGCACCAGUUGUCACGCCAGUGGCACAGCUGGGCAGCUAUGUGCGGAACGGAUAAACGCUGAAGGCAUCUAAGCGUGAAGCCGCCCUUAAGAUAAGAUAUCCCUUCUGUUUACAGAGUAAGACCCCUUGAAGACUACAAGGUUGAUAGGCUCAAAGUGUAAGCACGGUGACGUGUUUAGCUAGCGAGUACUAAUCGGUCGAGGGCUUAACCUUA
This 2840-nucleotide ribosomal RNA is filed under the name Ruminococcus sp. AF18-29. RNAcentral's name for it is "bacterial LSU rRNA". It matches the Rfam family "Bacterial large subunit ribosomal RNA". The record is from RNAcentral. Lineage: Bacteria; Bacillati; Bacillota; Clostridia; Eubacteriales; Oscillospiraceae.